GACGAACGCUGGCGGCGUGCUUAACACAUGCAAGUCGAACGGAAAGGCCCCUUUGGGGGUACUCGAGUGGCGAACGGGUGAGUAACACGUGAGUAACCUGCCCUUGACUUCGGGAUAACUUCAGGAAACUGGGGCUAAUGCCGGAUAGGAAUCCUUGCUGCAUGGUGGGGGUUGGAAAGCUUCGGCGGUUUUGGAUGGACUCGCGGCUUAUCAGCUUGUUGGUGGGGUAGUGGCUUACCAAGGCUUUGACGGGUAGCCGGCCUGAGAGGGUGACCGGCCACAUUGGGACUGAGAUACGGCCCAGACUCCUACGGGAGGCAGCAGUGGGGAAUAUUGCACAAUGGGCGGAAGCCUGAUGCAGCAACGCCGCGUGCGGGAUGACGGCCUUCGGGUUGUAAACCGCUUUCAGCAGGGGCGAAGCUUGUGGUGACGGUACCUGCAGAAGAAGCACCGGCUAACUACGUG
Molecule: ribosomal RNA, 465 nt
Filed under: uncultured bacterium
Lineage: Bacteria
Description: partial 16S ribosomal RNA
Rfam family: Bacterial small subunit ribosomal RNA
Source: RNAcentral